CAACGAAAAAAAACAUCAAUGUAGUUCAAACAUUGAAAAACUAAAACAUAAACAUUAGUAUUGUGGUUAAACAUACAAAACAUUAUGGCAAAAUAAGUUCUUAAAAUAUCUAAACAUUUCCUAGUUAUUGAUGUUGCUUCAUAAUCCUUAAUUAGUGCUACCAUCUUCUUGACUCUUCUUAUUCGGUUACCUGGAAAAACAUAACUAUUAGGAUACUUAAAAAUAAGGGCAACAAAAUUAAGCUCCGUCUGGAAUCACAUCUCCCACUGCACCUGGAGCCAUUGAUUGAAGAUAGUGAUGUUGUGGUAGCAAACAACUUUCGCGUUGCCUCACGGUGGUCUCGCAGAGGGUUCGCAUUCAGACUUCAGAAACAGAACUGUGAAGCAACCAGAAACAUAGUGAGAAGCAAUAAACAAAGAGCUAGAAUUAAGUGGAAUUAAUAAGAAAGAGAUGAAAAGGUCAAUCAUAAUAUACAAAGAGCUAGAAUCAUACUAUAAGAGGACCAAUUUCAGCAUCCAAAGUACAUAAUUUGAGUCCUUGCAAUCAACUCAGUUUCAAGUGAAUAAUUCAUCCUUGGCUUUCCCCGAUAUGCUACAUUUAUCGUGCCCUCUCCUACAUUAAUAACAAAUGAAAUCAAAAUUAUGAUACACCCAUAAGAAAAAUGCAUUUGUAUGAUAAAAAUAAAUUUGUAUAAACUCAUAAGAAUGAUUCCAUCCUUUUAGCAUUCUCUUCUAUUAUUUUGCUCCGUGGCUCCUCAUAUGGUGAAGUCGCCAUUUUCACUCCAGCUUCCCUAUCC
This 796-nucleotide long non-coding RNA is filed under the name Trifolium pratense (red clover). RNAcentral's name for it is "long non-coding RNA (TPRA_LNC001675)". Lineage: Eukaryota; Viridiplantae; Streptophyta; Magnoliopsida; Fabales; Fabaceae. The record is from RNAcentral.